AAAUAAGGCUGCGGCGGGAGCAGCGCCUUUUAUUUAAAAGAAAAAAAAAACCCAACUUAGUUCCCCAACUCUUCCCGCCCCCUCCCUCGCGGAGUGUGAUUGUUUUGUCUGGAAAAAAACCCAAAGUAUAACAAGGGGAGAACAGUUAGUGCUGAUUUCCAUUUGCAUAAAUUUUCAUAUAUUUUGGUGAAAAUAAUAGACGGGCGGAGAGCGGGGCUCGGCGGAGUCAGUGAGAGGGAAAAGAGGAGCGGGGAGAGCCGCGCCGGAGCCGAGAAGGCGCGGUGUGCCCCCGUCACCCCAUUAAAACCCCAAAUUAAAGCAAAAGCGUAUCUCCUCAGUGCCGCGAGUGCGCUCGGCCCACUCUGUUCUCCAGCCUCGUUACAUGGGUUUCUGUCUCUCCUCAGCAUCCCCUUGAAUGGCAUCUACUGCACGUGCUAUGUGACAGAUCCACACAAACAACAGAGGGGAAAGAGCCUCACUUAACUGAUUAGAGGAGAAAAGCAGUGAAAGGGAAUAUGCACAAAGCGCUGCCAAGUUCACAGAGCAAAGGAUAAGAUAAAAAAUUGAAUCAUUUCACUAUUUUUUUU
This 587-nucleotide long non-coding RNA is filed under the name Phasianus colchicus (ring-necked pheasant). Its description in RNAcentral is "lncRNA (ENSPCLG00000015470.1)". The record is from RNAcentral. Lineage: Eukaryota; Metazoa; Chordata; Aves; Galliformes; Phasianidae.